UACAUGCAGUCGAACGAACUCUGGUAUUGAUUGGUGCUUGCAUCAUGAUUUACAUUUGAGUGAGUGGCGAACUGGUGAGUAACACGUGGGAAACCUGCCCAGAAGCGGGGGAUAACACCUGGAAACAGAUGCUAAUACCGCAUAACAACUUGGACCGCAUGGUCCGAGUUUGAAAGAUGGCUUCGGCUAUCACUUUUGGAUGGUCCCGCGGCGUAUUAGCUAGAUGGUGGGGUAACGGCUCACCAUGGCAAUGAUACGUAGCCGACCUGAGAGGGUAAUCGGCCACAUUGGGACUGAGACACGGCCCAAACUCCUACGGGAGGCAGCAGUAGGGAAUCUUCCACAAUGGACGAAAGUCUGAUGGAGCAACGCCGCGUGAGUGAAGAAGGGUUUCGGCUCGUAAAACUCUGUUGUUAAAGAAGAACAUAUCUGAGAGUAACUGUUCAGGUAUUGACGGUAUUUAACCAGAAAGCCACGGCUAACUACGUGCCAGCAGCCGCGGUAAUACGUAGGUGGCAAGCGUUGUCCGGAUUUAUUGGGCGUAAAGCGAGCGCAGGCGGUUUUUUAAGUCUGAUGUGAAAGCCUUCGGCUCAACCGAAGAAGUGCAUCGGAAACUGGGAAACUUGAGUGCAGAAGAGGACAGUGGAACUCCAUGUGUAGCGGUGAAAUGCGUAGAUAUAUGGAAGAACACCAGUGGCGAAGGCGGCUGUCUGGUCUGUAACUGACGCUGAGGCUCGAAAGUAUGGGUAGCAAACAGGAUUAGAUACCCUGGUAGUCCAUACCGUAAACGAUGAAUGCUAAGUGUUGGAGGGUUUCCGCCCUUCAGUGCUGCAGCUAACGCAUUAAGCAUUCCGCCUGGGGAGUACGGCCGCAAGGCUGAACUCAAAGGAAUUGACAGGGGCCCGCACAAGCGGUGGAGCAUGUGGUUUAAUUCGAAGCUACGCGAAGAACCUUACCAGGUCUUGACAUACUAUGCAAAUCUAAGAGAUUAGACGUCCCUUCGGGACAUGGAUACAGGUGGUGCAUGGUUGUCGUCAGCUCGUGUCGUGAGAUGUUGGGUUAGUCCCGCACGAGCGCACCCUAUAUCAGUGCCAGCAUAGUUGGGC
RNAcentral lists this ribosomal RNA (1106 nucleotides) under Lactiplantibacillus plantarum. RNAcentral describes it as "bacterial SSU rRNA". It matches the Rfam family "Bacterial small subunit ribosomal RNA", at positions 52 to 1136 of the family's 1533-position model. Lineage: Bacteria; Bacillati; Bacillota; Bacilli; Lactobacillales; Lactobacillaceae. The record is from RNAcentral.